CCUACGGGGGGCAGCAGUGGGGGAUAUUGCACAAUGGGGGGAACCCUGAUGCAGCGACGCCGCGUGGGUGAAGGAGCGUUUCGGCGCGUAAAGCCCUAUCGGCAGGGAAGAAGAUGACGGUACCUGGCCAAGAAGCCCCGGCUAACUACGUGCCAGCAGCCGCGGUAAUACGUAGGGGGCAAGCGUUAUCCGGAUUUACUGGGUGUAAAGGGGGCGCAGACGGCAAUGCAAGCCAGGAGUGAAAGCCCGGGGCCCAACCCCGGGACUGCUCUUGGAACUGCAUGGCUGGAGUACAGGAGGGGCAGGCGGAAUUCCUAGUGUAGCGGUGAAAGGCGUAGAUAUAUGGAAGAACACCAGUGGCGAAGGCGGCUGUCUGGUCUGCAACUGACGCGGAGGCUCGAAAGCAUGGGUAGCGAACAGGAUUAGAUACCCCAGUAGUC
This 440-nucleotide ribosomal RNA is filed under the name uncultured bacterium. RNAcentral's name for it is "partial 16S ribosomal RNA". It matches the Rfam family "Bacterial small subunit ribosomal RNA", at positions 338 to 795 of the family's 1533-position model. The record is from RNAcentral.